Molecule: unclassified non-coding RNA, 350 nt
Filed under: soil metagenome
Description: partial contains 5.8S ribosomal RNA, internal transcribed spacer 2, and large subunit ribosomal RNA
Rfam family: 5.8S ribosomal RNA (bases 1-120)
Source: RNAcentral
GAUGAAGAACGUAGCGAAAUGCGAUAAGUAAUGUGAAUUGCAGAAUUCAGUGAAUCAUCGAGUCUUUGAACGCACAUUGCGCCCCCUGGUAUUCCGGGGGGCAUGCCUGUCCGAGCGUCAUUGCUGCCCUCAAGCACGGCUUGUGUGUUGGGCCCCGCCCCCCGGCUCCCGGGGGGCGGGCCCGAAAGGCAGCGGCGGCACCGCGUCCGGUCCUCGAGCGUAUGGGGCUUCGUCACCCGCUCCGUAGGCCCGGCCGGCGCCCGCCGGCGACCCCCCUCAAUCUUUUUUCAGGUUGACCUCGGAUCAGGUAGGGAUACCCGCUGAACUUAAGCAUAUCAAUAAGCGGAGGA